Ameiurus melas (black bullhead) is the source of this 73-nucleotide non-coding RNA. Lineage: Eukaryota; Metazoa; Chordata; Actinopteri; Siluriformes; Ictaluridae. The record is from the annotation of a GenBank genome assembly.
GCCUGGAUAGCUCAGUUGAUAGAGCAUCAGAUGUUUAAUCUGAGGAUCCAGAAUUCAAGUCCCUGUCUGGGCA